RNAcentral lists this ribosomal RNA (498 nucleotides) under uncultured bacterium. Its description in RNAcentral is "partial 16S ribosomal RNA". It matches the Rfam family "Bacterial small subunit ribosomal RNA", at positions 899 to 1397 of the family's 1533-position model. The record is from RNAcentral.
ACUCAAAGGAAUUGACGGGGGCCCGCACAAGCGGUGGAGCAUGUGGUUUAAUUCGAUGCAACGCGAAGAACCUUACCAAGGUUUGACAUCCCUGGAAGUCGGUGGAAACACUGAUGUGCCGCAAGGAGCCAGGAGACAGGUGGUGCAUGGCUGUCGUCAGCUCGUGUCGUGAGAUGUUGGGUUAAGUCCCGCAACGAGCGCAACCCUCGAUGUCAGUUGCCAACGGGUAAAGCCGGGCACUCUGGCGUGACUGCCGGUGACAAACCGGAGGAAGGUGGGGAUGACGUCAAGUCAUCAUGCCCCUUAUGCCUUGGGCUACACACGUGCUACAAUGGUCGGGACAACGGGCAGCAAAGCCGCGAGGUGGAGCCAAUCCUCAAACCCGGCCUCAGUUCAGAUUGCAGGCUGCAACUCGCCUGCAUGAAGGUGGAAUCGCUAGUAACCGUAGGUCAGCAUACUGCGGUGAAUACGUUCCCGGGCCUUGUACACACCGCCCGU